AGCGGCGGACGGGUGAGUAACGCGUGGGAAUAUGCCCUUCUCUAAGGAAUAGCCUCGGGAAACUGAGAGUAAUACCUUAUACGCCCUUCGGGGGAAAGAUUUAUCGGAGAAGGAUUAGCCCGCGUUAGAUUAGGUAGUUGGUGGGGUAAUGGCCUACCAAGCCUACGAUCUAUAGCUGGUUUGAGAGGAUGAUCAGCCACACUGGGACUGAGACGCGGCCCAGACUCCUACGGGAGGCAGCAGUAGGGAAUCUUAGACAAUGGGGGAAACCCUGAUCUAGCCAUGCCGCGUGUGUGAUGAAGGCCUUAGGGUCGUAAAGCACUUUCGCCAGAGAUGAUAAUGACAGUAUCUGGUAAAGAAACCCCGGCUAACUCCGUGCCAGCAGCCGCGGUAAUACGGAGGGGGUUAGCGUUGUUCGGAAUUACUGGGCGUAAAGCGCACGUAGGCGGAUUAGUAAGUUAGAGGUGAAAUCCCAGGGCUCAACCCUGGAACUGCCUUUAAUACUGCUAGUCUUGAGUUCGAGAGAGGUAAGUGGAAUUCCGAGUGUAGAGGUGAAAUUCGUAGAUAUUCGGAGGAACACCAGUGGCGAACGCGGCUUACUGGCUCGAUACUGACGCUGAGUGCGAAAGUGUGGGGAGCAAACAGGAUUAGAUACCCUGGUAGUCCACACGUA
RNAcentral lists this ribosomal RNA (673 nucleotides) under uncultured bacterium. RNAcentral's name for it is "bacterial SSU rRNA". It matches the Rfam family "Bacterial small subunit ribosomal RNA", at positions 94 to 803 of the family's 1533-position model. The record is from RNAcentral.